CUCUGGUCCCAUCUGUCAAUCUCACAUGGGGUCUGAGUUAGGUUAAAAUAUGGGUAAUGUCGAGUACAGUGGUGCACACCUGUAAUCCCAGCAACUCAGGAGGCUGAGGCGGGAGGAUCCCGAGUUCAAAGCCAGCCUCAGCAACUUAGUGAGGCCCUAAGCAUCUCAGCGAGACCCUGCCUCUAAAGAAAAUUGUAAAAAAGACUGGAGAUAUGGGUCAGUGAUUAAGCACCCCUGGGUUCAAUCCCUGGUACCAAAACCAAACAGAAAACAUGGGUAACUAUCGGGGACCAAAGAGAAUCAGUCAAAGCCACUAACAACUGCUCACUCAGCCCUGCCUUGUCCCCACCUAUUUUAGUCAACUAUUUCACUACUGUAGCCAAAAGACAUAACAAGAACAAUUAGAGGAAGAAAAGUUUCUUUGGAACUCACAGUUUCAGAGUUCUCAGUCCAUAGAUGGCUGACUCCAUUGCUGUGGGCCCAAGAUGAGGCAGAACAUUAUGGUAGAAGGGUGUGGAGGAGAAGAGCAGCUCAAGACAUGGCACCAGGAAGCAGAGACAGAGAGGGAGUGCUCUGUUCACGGAGGACAAAAUAUAAACCCCAAAGGCAUGCCCCAGUGACCCACCUCCUCUAACCACACCCUAUCUGCCUACAGUUACCACCCAGUUAAUCUGUAUAGUGGGCUAAUCUACUGAUUAGGGCACACCUCUCGUAAUCUAAUCAUUUCUCCUCCAACCCUCUCACAUGAGUUUUUGGGGGACACCUCACAUUUAAACCAUGACAGCACAAUAGCAUAGAAGAAGAAGAUUGUUCAAGCCAGACAUCCCAUGCAUUCCCAAGACAACCAUCAACACUGAAAUGCCCCAAGUCACUCUGGCCCUUCUCAUCAAGCUAAAGAACCCAAGAAUUGUCCAACACCUAAAUAAGAGUUUUGACAAAGAAAACGCAAGCAUUUCAGACAUGAAAAGAGCCACUUUUUAUAGUAUGUUGUUUUGUUUCGUUUUGUUUUAUUCUCAUUUGGGCUCCAAACAAAUUAACCCACUUUCCAAAUUAACCCAACUUCCCAGGGAUCUUUGCUAAGUGAAGUUUCUAACAAGUAAGGUCUGAUCUAGGGCAGCCCAUCUGGAAUUCUCGUCUGUCCAGAAUCUUCCCACAAGCCCUCACAGAAGUAUAAAAUCUUUUGUUUAUUAAGAUACAGAUGGGCACAGUAUAGAGGACACAGGGGGACAGGGCUCCAGGUGGGAAGCGUGUAUAAAACCCAGCACCUCUUAGCCCAAUGUUUCAAGGUUUGUCUGAGGUCUUCUCCCCACCACUCUGCUGAUUUUCCUCAUGUUCCCAAGAAGCAGAAGCAUGACUGAAGGAACCAUUAAUGAAGCUACUGAACACCAACCUGGCGCACACAGCCCAACCACAACCAACUUGGUGGCAAAGGUGGCAUUUGCAGUUCAUGGGUCAGGAAUAGCUAGGAAAUGCAGUUUUUUUGUUUUGUUUGGGAGGGGGGUUGUUUUGGGGUUUUUGGUUUUUUGGUAGUGCUGGGGAAUUGAACCCAGGGCUU
This 1555-nucleotide long non-coding RNA is filed under the name Marmota monax (woodchuck). Lineage: Eukaryota; Metazoa; Chordata; Mammalia; Rodentia; Sciuridae. The record is from RNAcentral.